GAUUUAAAGGCUAGCGUAUCCUGCAGUCUUGGCGGGGUUUUCGGACCUAUCGUUCGACGGGUGAGUAAUGCGUAGGAAGCUGCCCGAUAGAGGGGGAUACCAUUUGGAAACGACUGUUAAUACCGCAUAAUGUCUACAGACCAAAGUGUGGGACCUUCCGGCCACAUGCUAUCGGAUGCGCCUAUUUGGGAUUAGCUAAUUGGUGAGGUAAUGGCUCACCAAGGCGACGAUCUCUAGCUGGUUUGACAGGAUGAUCAUCCACACUGGAACUGAGACACGGUCCAGACUCCUACGGGAGGCAGCACUGGCGAAUAUUGGACAAUGGGCGCAAGCCUGAUCCAGCCAUGCCGCGUGUGUGAAGAACGCCUUCGGGUUGUACAGCACUUUCAGCGAUGAGGAAGGCUUAUUCGUUAAUAGCGGCUAAUUUUGACGUUACUCUCAGAAGAAGCACCGGCUAACUCUGUGCCAGCAGCCGCGCUAAUACAGAGGGUGCAAGCGUUAAUCGGAAUUACUGGGCGUAAAGCGCAUUUACGCGGUUGGUUAAGUUGGAUGUGAAAGCCCCGGGCUCAAUCUGUCAAAUGCAUUCAAACCUGGCCCACUCCAAUACGGGAGAUGGGGGUAGAAUUCCCUUGUGUACGGUGAAAUGCGUAUAGAUUCCGGAGUGAAUUCCAUUGGUCUAACGCGAGACCCCUGACCCGCAUAUUGACGCUGACGUGCCACUACGUGCGGAGCAUACAGGAUUAGAUACACUGCUAGUCCAAGCCAUAAACGAUGUCUACUAGCUGUUCCUGGUCUUGUACUGUGAGCUAGCUGCAUGCUAAUGCACUAUUCUUCCACCGCCUUGGGGCUAGCACCGUCGGCAUUAUAACUACUCCCACAUGAGUUUGAACGGGGGGCCAGCACUAUUCGCUGGAGGCAUGUGGACUCAAUUCCCACGCUAACGCCGUAUGAACCCAUACCCUACCUCCUUGACCCAUCAUACCGCUAAGAUAUGGCAGAUACUAGCCUGAUUGUGCCCUUCCGCGGAACCGUACGAUAUGUUGGCUGGCAAUGGCCUUGUCGAUUAGAUCGUGUUUGUGUAAUGUAGGGCUUAUUCUCCUGCAACGAUUGCUAACCCAUAUUCCCUUAAGUUGCCCACGAUUCAGUUCGGGACGUGUAGGAUGAACUGGUCCGUGACAUACCGGUAGAACUGCGGUGAACGUGACAGCUUUCGACGUCCAUGCACAGAACG
Molecule: ribosomal RNA, 1231 nt
Filed under: bacterium
Lineage: Bacteria
Description: bacterial SSU rRNA
Rfam family: Bacterial small subunit ribosomal RNA (bases 1-841)
Source: RNAcentral